RNAcentral lists this long non-coding RNA (686 nucleotides) under Coturnix japonica (Japanese quail). RNAcentral's name for it is "lncRNA (ENSCJPG00005006572.1)". Lineage: Eukaryota; Metazoa; Chordata; Aves; Galliformes; Phasianidae. The record is from RNAcentral.
GAACACCCCUAGGAUACACCUAAUUUGAAAUGAAUGAGAAUUUUUCUGGAUCAGGGUUUAAUUCUGAUAUCAGGAAUGGUCUUAACUUCUGGCAAGCUGAUUUUCAAUGAGCCCUGUGCAAGAUUUCUGCCAGCACAAAAGUUCCAGGUGAUGUUAUUACCUUCAGAGAACAUCUCAAUUGAAUCUACAGUUCCUUUAGUAACUGCGUCAGGAGUGCAAGGUACAAUGAAGGUGCUAUUUAAAUGGAUUGUGCAGCACCACUGUAUGUGGGAAAGACAUGGGAAACAGCUAGACUGAAAAUGCAGCCAAAGACAAAACAUUCCUGCAGUGAUGUGUGUGUUAGACACCAAGGAUGCAUCACCCAGAGGUCCAGAUUUCCUGCACUGACUUGUAAAAGCCAGCAACAAGCUGAGUUGGAGGGCCAGCCACAGGCGGCCCAAGUGGAGGUGAGUGUAUGUUUAACUGAAGAAAGAAAAAUCUUCAGGGCAGAUGUGCUCAGUAAAGUUAAAGAAAAGACCCUAGGAAAGAAAUAUUUCACCAAAGUGUUUCCAACACAGGCUACACACGUUAUCCUUUCUGUGCUGUUCCUGGAAAUAAUCUGUGCUCCUCUGGCUUUAUUCAUGCAAUGAAUACAUUUCUUCAGGAAAAACAAUAAAAGUAUUUACCAAAAAGUUUUCUGUUUCCUA